CAGGCGUGAGCCACCACACCUGGCCUUCUUUUUACCCUUUUCAUUUUUUUUUCUCUUUUCCUUUUAGAAAGCAGGUUGUUAAACAUUUACCAGCUCACCACUGGCUGGAGGCCACAGCAUUUAUAGCGUCUCAGAAGGGUCUGGAGCUUAGAAAGUUUAAGAGCUUAGCAAGACUCCUCCUGUGUCUCAGGACCUGUGAUGGAUCUGAGCCUGUCUGACACCAAAGCCAAAGAAAUGCCUUCCUUCCCUCACGAGGCCAAGAGUUAGCGUCUCUUUCUACCCCAUCAUGACAACUUCCUGUCCAGGGCAAGAAACUGUCCUGAUUGUCCCUUGGGGGCAGGGAUUAAAGGUACUACAGGUUCAGAGCCCCUGGCUAGCGUGCCCUGCCCUCUGACCACGUAUGAUCAAUUCCAUAAAUAUUUACCCAGCGCCUCACUUAACCUCCCUGAGCCUGUUUCUUCAAAGCUGCAAAAUGGGGCCCUUCAGCCUGACUACUUUAAUUCAUCCAUCCACCCAUUCCUUCAGUUAGCGGCUCCCCUGUGCUGGGUGGUGUUUUUGAAGGAUACUGGAGUCGGGAUGCCUGCUUUGAGUCCUGGCUCUGGCACUGGCUUCCUCGGUACCAUGGGCCUCAGCGUUCCCAUCUGUACAAUGGCACCCACAUAAGGGUUCCUUCCAACUCCUUUCCCCAUCUCAGGGGGUUGUUGCGGGAUAUCGGGGCUGGGGAACCUUGGCUAGCUGAGGAACUAGGCUAGCUGACACACAAAGGACCAGCAACAGUUCACGCCCUGGAGACAGAACGCGCCCACGUGAUUCACACCGGCAGCAGCGGACUCUGUUUCUGUUGCCUUGAAUGAGGUGCGCUCUAGUCUUGCAGAGUUUAGAAAACAAGGAGGUGUGGAAUGUUCAGGGAAGACUUCCUGAUGAGGUAAUAAUAACACAGGAACAGCUAAUAUUUGAUGAGCACUUGCUGUGUGCCAGGGCUUGUGCUAAACACAUGCUUCAUCUUAUUUAAUCCUUGCAAAGAACUUGCCGGGUGGGAACGCAUGUGCUACCCGUUUUGUAAAUGAAGAACCUGAAGCCCAGAAGCCCAGAGAGUGGAAGUGAUUUGACCAAG
RNAcentral lists this long non-coding RNA (1114 nucleotides) under Homo sapiens (human). RNAcentral's name for it is "HSALNT0002201". Lineage: Eukaryota; Metazoa; Chordata; Mammalia; Primates; Hominidae. The record is from RNAcentral.